CCUGGCACGCCGAGCUCCGCCCAGGAGCCGCGAUUCGGGGUGCUGGCAGUGGCAGAGGAGCGAGGAGCGGCGGAUGCGACGCCGCAGUGCGCUGCUGGAGGACGGCGUCUUGCAGGCCGGGCCCUCCGCGCAGCGCUCCCGGGGCAGGGGCUCAGGUUCCAUCACCACGCAGCCCCCAGACUCACAGGGGACUCCCGGAGAAGAGUGACACCACACACCCCUUGUUGCUGAGCUACCCAGAGUCGGUCACCUAUCCCCAACCUGCGCAAGUCGAAAAUGGGCAGAAAGAACCCAGGAUUUUCCAGAAUGAAAUCCGCGGCAGCGAGCCGCCCCCCGGAGUACGCAGCGCCAGGGGUGAACCGAACGUGCUCUGCGACGCCACUUCCCCCAUGACGUGCCUGGGCGCCCAUCUCCUCGCUUACCCUCCACGCAGUAAAGCAGGUCAUCUUGUCACAGGAAACCCCCGGCAAGGGGAGCAGUGAUUGCGGUUCCCCCCGCCCCCCAUCCUGGGGCUCGAACCCACGGCCUCACUAAUGCUAGGGAAGGGCUUUACCACCGAGCUACACCCCCAGCUCAGGGAUGCAGAUAGGAUGAUGCUAGCUCUUCACAGUGGCACAUUGAC
RNAcentral lists this long non-coding RNA (622 nucleotides) under Marmota monax (woodchuck). The record is from RNAcentral. Lineage: Eukaryota; Metazoa; Chordata; Mammalia; Rodentia; Sciuridae.